UACAUAGGGUGCGAGCGUUAAUCGGAAUUACUGGGCGUAAAGCGUGCGCAGGCGGUUCGUUGUGUCGGUGGUGAAAUCCCCGGGCUUAACCUGGGAAUGGCCAUGGAAACUGGCGAACUGGAGUGUGGCAGAGGGGGGUGGAAUUCCGCGUGUAGCAGUGAAAUGCGUAGAUAUGCGGAGGAACACCGAUGGCGAAGGCAAUCCCCUGGGCCUGCACUGACGCUCAUGCACGAAAGCGUGGGGAGCAAACAGG
Molecule: ribosomal RNA, 253 nt
Filed under: uncultured bacterium
Lineage: Bacteria
Description: partial 16S ribosomal RNA
Rfam family: Bacterial small subunit ribosomal RNA
Source: RNAcentral